CGGGCCGUACAUUCUUGAGAAUUUCAAUUGAAUUCAAUCACAUGAUAUUUCUUAUUUAUAUCCAAUAUAGCCUAUCUAUUUAGUAUAAACAAAAUAAGCGUAAAAUGUUGCUAUAAGUUAUGUAAUGAGUAAUGAAAAAAGGACUAAAACCUAGAAGCUAACAUUUAAUUACAUAAAAAAAAAAUGAUGAAUGCAUAUUUAGUAUUGCACGGUUCCAUAAAAUGCUGAAAUGGGCCUGUGAUUAAUUUCAUUCAGCCUGCAUGAUCAGAACAUUUUUAUUCGUUUCUUGGUGUAUUUUAGGAUUAUACGAACGUUUGGAUCAAGAAACGUCCAACUGUGCCACAGUAAACCCGAAUAAUUUCGACCCUCUCAUUUGGAUCAUUUAUACAGGUAAUUGGCACUUUCUUCAAGUUAUUGUGCUCUAAAUGUAUUAUUACUGUAUAGUAGCACAGAGUUGUGUUCCUGACGGGUUUAAGAAAUCAAGCGUAGCCUAAUUUUAACUCAAAUAGCAUGGCAAUUUAUUAAACAAACAAUGCAGUUCCUUCAGAAUACUUUUUCAACAAGAGGAGAUAAUUUGAAAGAAUAUGGCGUUAUACAUGUUCCGUUCCUUGUUAUAGUGGAACAUUUGGACUAUGAAUGCAGUUCAAUUUAGAAACACUUUUUGGUGUUUGGUCCAUAAUAUCCGGCUACACUUUAGAAAUAAAUUACUAUAUGCAAUUUACACGUAAUAACAAGUCCAUAAACGUGUGACGCACGUCAACACAGCCCAGCAUAUAGCUCACAAAAACGAAGAAGACUUACGUGUUAUUCGAAGUAACACUGUCCUUAACAAACCAAGAUCUAGUUCGGUUUCUGUUCAGUCCAUCUCGGGGGUAGAGUAGGUAAAUAUCAACGUGUCUCGGUAUCAAGAAAAGGCAAAAUCAACAACAACAAAACGAAGAAGAAGAACGAAAAAUACUUGUUUGGUCAAAACUUGCUGCAGUCAUACACAAAAGCCCCUGACGUGCGGUAUAUGGGCUGACUCGGAGGAAACGACAUUUGACAGCUGUUAUUCCCGUUCACCGGUGAAUUAUUCAGACCGAUUCUCUGCGAUUCAAACAUCUCUCGAACCGAAUGGAAGUUCUGCUGCUGCGCAGGGUACGUGGCGCCCAGGUGGCCAAUGUCUCCGGCCUGGUUUAGGUACCAUGACGCGAGGCGCCCUUGGUGCGCAUGGUGGCCCUCCUGAGGAUUCCCGUGGUUUAAGGACGACGUGGUGGUCGUGAUCGAGUAAUCGGGCAGAGUUUCGUCCACGGUGGUAGUGGCGGCCAGGUGUCCCGAGCGAUCCCCGCCCGCGUACAAGCUCAUGGCCUGCAUGUUGCAGUGAUAGGUGGCAUUGGAGGUAGUCGAGAUAGAGUUCUGGCUGCAGGGCGAGCUAUACACGGACGUCUGAUUGGGCGAAUAGUUCAGGGACAAUGUGGGAGUUAUACCUGUCCGUGAGGAGGCCACGAGAGACGGGGUGAGCUCGCCGGAGCUCUGAGGCGAGCCGCGGAGGGAGGUCAUGAUGUUAUCCACGCUGAAGCCCUGCGCGGGGGCCUGGCCGUGGUGGUGAUGCUGCUGCUGCUGCUGCUGCUGCUGCUGCUGUUCCCCGGCGCUGUCCAGGCUGAGAGAGCGGGUGGACGGGAUGCUGUGCGGGCUGCCGCUCGACAUGCUGCUGCUGCUGCUGUCGGGGCUCUCAAUCUUGGGAACAGUUCUUAGCGAGGGCGAAACAGCCUGCGGCGGCGUGGACGUGCCGUUCUCGGUUUUAAUGUCCUGAAUGCGCACGGGCUGCGAGCCCGGCACCGACUGCUCCUGGUCGCGGCCCGUCUGCUGCUGUGGCGGCUGAUUCUGCUGCUGGCGGGAAGGCGCUUCCUUCACAGUUCGCUCUUCCUUAUCCUUUGAGGCGUCCUUCUUUUUGAAACGCCGCCGUCGCCUCAAAAAGCUGCCGUUCUCAAACAUAUUAUACGAGUCCGGGUCGAGAGACCAGUAGCUGCCUUUGCCAGGUUUUUUGUCAUCGCGGGGCACUUUGACAAAGCACUCGUUCAGGGACAGAUUGUGUCUGAUACUGUUCUGCCAGCCCUGCUUGUUGUCCCUGUAAAAGGGGAAGCGCUCCAUUAUGAACUGAUAAAUGCCGUUUAGGGUCACCUUCUUGUCCGGGGAGUUCUGGAUGGCCAUCGUGAUGAGCGCAAUGUAACUGUACGGCGGUUUUACCAUAUCCUUGGGCUGCGGCUGCGGCGUGUACGGUCCGUACGCCCUCGCCAUGCUGGCAGGGUACUGCUCAUGGGCCGCGUGAGAGUACAUGCUCAUGGGGGCUGGCAUCCCGGUGUACCCCCCUCCGGCGGCGGCCCGGUAAUAACUUUGGUCGCUGCUGAUGUACGGCACGACUCCCAGCGAGUUGGGACUGGAGACGGAAUAGCGCGCCUGCAUGACUUCUCUCCAAACGGCGCUGGCGAAGAACAGACAAGUCAAGAAGUUUGAAGCAAUCCACAAACCCGCUUGAAACUGGGAAGGCAGUCCAACCGAGAGUCCACGUUCUGCCACCGUAUUUAUAAAAUGUGACUAUUGGAUUGGACUCGCGUACUGGCCACCUCUUUCUGUCGGAGAGCGCAUUGAAAAACUUCUGAACGCUAAGCAUCGGUCACUACAUAAUGCUUUU
Molecule: long non-coding RNA, 2671 nt
Organism: Cyprinus carpio carpio
Lineage: Eukaryota; Metazoa; Chordata; Actinopteri; Cypriniformes; Cyprinidae
Source: Ensembl